AUCUGGGCGGCGGAAUUCAGGAUAGCCGGGCGGGCCUCGCGCUCGUCCGGUUGUUUGAUAUUUCCGUCGCCGUGUCAGACGUCGCGACCUGUUCGUCGUCGGUCCUUGCUCGGAGGAAUCGCGUUCGAGUUCGUUGCGGGGCGCGUUUCGGCGUGCCUCGCGGCGAAGGCGCGUCUUUCUGGCUGACGACGGACAGUAGGCAACGGUGUCCGGCGUCGUGUCUCGCACUCGACGUCGGUACCGGUCAGCGACGAUUUCUUCGGGCCUCUUUCCGACCCGUCUUGAAACACGGACCAAGGAGUCUAACAUGCGCGCGAGUCGCGGGGUUUCGAGCGUGCCACGGUGCGCUCGUUACUUCCGAAACCCGUACGUUGAAGGCGUAAUGAAAGUGAACAGGGAAGAUGGCGUUCCGAGUCCACGUACCGUGAUCGAGUAUCGCGGCCGGACGCCCGCACUCCCGGGGCGUCUCAAUGGUUCGUCGCGGAUGCGGACGGUCGUCUUUCGGGGCGGCCGUCGGUCUGCGACGGUCCGA
This 532-nucleotide ribosomal RNA is filed under the name Pinnaspis aspidistrae. Its description in RNAcentral is "partial 28S ribosomal RNA". Lineage: Eukaryota; Metazoa; Arthropoda; Insecta; Hemiptera; Diaspididae. The record is from RNAcentral.